GUCCAGGGAUGGGAAUCGAACCCACAGUGUUCCGCUUACUGGGCAGAUUACAUGUCCACUAGGCUACCCUGGA
This 73-nucleotide transfer RNA is filed under the name Cordylochernes scorpioides. RNAcentral's name for it is "tRNA-Thr". The record is from RNAcentral. Lineage: Eukaryota; Metazoa; Arthropoda; Arachnida; Pseudoscorpiones; Chernetidae.